GACGAACGCUGGCGGCGUGCUUAACACAUGCAAGUCGAACGCUGAAGCUUGGUGCUUGCACUGGGUGGAUGAGUGGCGAACGGGUGAGUAAUACGUGAGUAACCUGCCCUUGACUCUGGGAUAAGCCUGGGAAACUGGGUCUAAUACUGGAUACGACAUGUCACCGCAUGGUGGUGUGUGGAAAGGGUUUUACUGGUUUUGGAUGGGCUCACGGCCUAUCAGCUUGUUGGUGGGGUAAUGGCUCACCAAGGCGACGACGGGUAGCCGGCCUGAGAGGGUGACCGGCCACACUGGGACUGAGACACGGACCAGACUCCUACGGGAGGCAGCAGUGGGGAAUAUUGCACAAUGGGCGGAAGCCUGAUGCAGCGACGCCGCGUGAGGGAUGACGGCCUUCGGGUUGUAAACCUCUUUCAGCAAGGAAGAAGCGAAAGUGACGGUACGUGCAGAAGAAGCGCCGGCUAACUACGUG
RNAcentral lists this ribosomal RNA (472 nucleotides) under uncultured bacterium. RNAcentral's name for it is "partial 16S ribosomal RNA". It matches the Rfam family "Bacterial small subunit ribosomal RNA", at positions 28 to 507 of the family's 1533-position model. The record is from RNAcentral.